RNAcentral lists this long non-coding RNA (298 nucleotides) under Lathyrus oleraceus (garden pea). Its description in RNAcentral is "Pisum sativum (pea) long non-coding RNA (PSAT_LNC016589)". Lineage: Eukaryota; Viridiplantae; Streptophyta; Magnoliopsida; Fabales; Fabaceae. The record is from RNAcentral.
AAAAAAAGAAAGAAAGAAAAAAAGAGAAAAAAGAAGAAAAGAAAAAAAAAAGAGAAAAGAAAGAAAAAAAAACAACAUGAAAAGAAAGAAAGAGAAAAGCGAAAAACAAUAAAAGAACAGCUUUUGAAAAGGCGACAUGCACUAUAGAGAUAAAAGGAAAAGAGGAUUGCAUAACCCUACAGGAAUAAUAGAAAAGAAACGUAGUGAGAGAAUGAUUUCAUAUACUCUGAACCAAAAACCUUUGUUCAAUUUCAUAGCCUACCUAAACCAAAACCCCGUUACAACCCAAAAGAAAAAA